This 681-nucleotide unclassified non-coding RNA is filed under the name Hevea brasiliensis (rubber tree). Lineage: Eukaryota; Viridiplantae; Streptophyta; Magnoliopsida; Malpighiales; Euphorbiaceae. The record is from RNAcentral.
AACCCAACUAAAUUAAAGAGUCGAGUACACUCAUGUCUCCUUAAAUAGCAUUAAUAAUACAUAAGAUAACCAAGGAACAAAUAUCUAGCCAAAAAACGAGAACCUAUCAUGUCAAACCAAAACAGACAAACUACAGCAUAAUACGAGGAAGGAAGCCCACAGCAGCCAUCUAGAGACUGGAAAAAAAAUAGCAUUACAAUCAUCUCCCUCUGUGUACAAAUAGUUGUCUUUCAUACAUACAUCAUUCAAAUCCCUGCUAACAUGGAGGUGGGAUGUGUUUUCCAGAUCAUCCACUCAUACAAAUUCAACAAAUGAAAUCCAACACUCUUCCAUGAUGCAAGCCAUUACGACACAUAUACAAGCUAUCAAGCAAUGGCUCACGCUUCUCCAUCAUCAGUCACCACCAGUCAAAUGUUUUGGCGCACCAGGUGGUGCUGUUGGCCUUGGGAAAUUGAACUGAGUGCCAUCAAAGUGUGGAGCCUCCACAUAGGGGCUCUGUGAUGCCAAUGUACCAUAAGAUGGCUCUUCAAGACUUCUAGAUUUUGGUGAUGUGCUGGGACAAGUUGCAUCAUGACUUGGUGCACUUCCAUUCAGUUUAUGCACAGCACCAUCUAGUGCAGUGUCACUCUCACUUCCAUUAGAUGACUUCACCCUCUGGAAGAUUUUACCAAGAGUUUUCAA